UUACCCCACAAAUCCAUAACAUCCAGUCACAGAUUGAACAAACUAUACCUUUUUGGAAUCUUUGUGAUCAGACAAAUAAUAUGGCAUACCUUUUAAUAUGAUGGGAACAUUUUAAAAUUUUGACCUCUGUGUAAUUCUUCAUUGAACCCU
Long non-coding RNA from Thalassophryne amazonica, 150 nucleotides. RefSeq lists it as uncharacterized. Lineage: Eukaryota; Metazoa; Chordata; Actinopteri; Batrachoidiformes; Batrachoididae. The transcript has 3 exons. The record is from RefSeq and is a predicted model, not a curated record.